UGACCAGGGUUGUGACCAUAAUGUGGUGGCUUCUCUCCCUUAGGUGGUUUGCCAACUGGGGUUGGUGGCUUGUAUGAGUCUUCAGCAUUCUCAGCAGGAGGGUGACCAGGGUUGUGACCAUAAUGUGGUGGCUUCUCUCCCUUAGGUGGUUUGCCAACUGGGGUUGGUGGCUUGUGUUCUGGGAGUGGCUUCUCCCCCUUGGGAGGUUUUUCCAAUGGGGUUGGUUUGUGUUCAGGAGGUGGCUUCUCCACUGGAGGCUUGUGUUCAGGAGGUGGCUUCUCCACCGGUGGCUUGUGUUCAGGAGGUGGCUUCUCCACCGGAGGCUUAUGCUCUGGUGGUGGCUUCUCCACCGGAGGCUUAUGCUCUGGUGGUGGCUUCUUGAAUGGGGGAUGCUGAGGGUAAUCAGCAAGUGAGGGGGCGGUGAGAACCACCAGGCCAAGCAACACCACUAGCAAAUAUGUAGGAGACAUCUUUGGGUUUGGGCUCAGAUGGUGCAAAACUAGGAGAAUUGGCUAGCCUUUUAUAGCGGAUCGUACUCAAUAAUGAAAUGACACGUGUCAUUAUGACCCAUGUGUAAUGGGGUCGAUUUGGGUCCUACAGUGUUGAAAACUUCGACAUCCAGUUUUGGCCUUUUGCUUUCUCUACAGCCGCCUUGCUUUUUCCCUCUUUCCUUUUGUUUUCCUCCUGCCCCAUUCUAUCAACUAAACACAAUUAUGUAGUUGUUUAAUUCUUAAAUGAGAUAUUAUCGGUCAAUCGUAUUAUAUUUUAUCAAGAGAGAACGGAGUGCAAUGCAGCUGUAAUUUUAUCGUUUACUUUUAUCUCUUGGACCACUGCAUUUUUGUUAAGAGGUGCAAUAAUACACGUCUUUAUCUGCCAUUCAAUGUUUACAGUAAAGAGAGGGCACAAAACUCUUCACUGCUCUGCAUGUGUCCCAAAAAUGCGAUUGGACAAAUUAUGAUUUGCAUGCUAAAAAGAGGCAAAUGAGGUUAAUUCGCACCAUAAUUAUUUGGUUUUCUGGACACCAUAAAAAGAUGUUAUACAGGCAGGGAAAAACCUUCAGAGUUAGCUACCAAAGAUAAUUAUCAAGCAGAUAUCACCAAGAGAAUUCCAUAGAGUCUGAAUCAAAGACAGAUUGCUCGCUCGUGGGGGUUCUUACUUUCUUUUGGGUAUAACUCACUGAGGUCACUGUCUUUUUUAUUUGCAUUUCACAGUUAGAGUUCUGCUCUGGAAGGUUUGUUCUGGAAACAUAUAAAAGGAGCAUCAUUUUGUUCUUGGGUAACCCAUAGUCGUGAGUGGGUCCAUUUGCAUGCUACUUAGUUGAAAAGUUGGACAAUUUGCUCCGACGCCUACCUCCUGGAUUCCAUGCUCGGUAAAACAAGAAUAAAAAAAAAUAUAUAAUUUACAAAUGGGGGAAAGAAAAAAUGUCGGAAAAAAUAGUAAAAUUCAUGUCACAUGCUAGUGAGAGAAGGGGUUGUUACACUCACUCGAAGUUCUUUUCAAAAUAUCGAAUGGUAUUUUACUUUAUGUGUCAGCGCAGUUGUGAAUGGAACGUGCAAAAGUCCAAAUUGGCGUUUUUAUUUUUCCCAUGUAGGAUGGUGACCUUUAAUAAAUAUUUAAAACAAAAGACGAAAAAAAAAAGGAGGGAAAAGGGAUCACAAAAGAUAAAAUAAUGUUUACAAAAGCUCAAUUAGUUUGCAAAUUACUGUUUGGAUUUUGAUAGUAUUUUAUUUGUCGUUCUAUAUUUGAUGUAAAAGAGAAUUUAAGAUAUUUCCGAAGCAAAAGCAUUAGUUUGCUCUGUGAUGUCCCACAUCGAAUAGGGGAGAAAGUUUCUGGCGCUAUAUAUGUAGAGGCUCCUCUUAACCAAGUAGAUGCGUUUUAAAACCAUGAGGGCCCCCUUAGGUCCAAAGCGGACAAUAUCUACAUGAUUGGGUGUAAGUCAUUACAAAUGGUAUCAGAGCCGAUCCCCGACCCCGGUGUGGGGGUUUGUUUGGCCCUGUAAGGGGUGUUUGUCUGUUUGACCCCACAAUCCCAUGGGACACAACGAGGACGUUGUGUCUGCAUGGGGGGGCGUUUGUGAUGUCCCACAUCGGAUAGGGGAGAAAGUUCCUAGUGCUAUAUAUGUAGAUGUUUCUCUUAACCAAGUAGAUGCAUUUUAAAAUUGUGAGGGCCUCUUUGGGCCCAAAGCGGACAAUAUCUACAUGGUUGAGUGUAAGUCAUUACAUGCUCCAUGUCAAUUUCAGCAUUUCUCAUAUGUUUCACACAUACACAGAAGAGCAUCGUUUUUUAAAGCAUGCAUUUAUGUUGGAUUAAUUUGGAUUUUGUGGGAACUGGGGCAAGGAUCACAUGGAAGAGAGGUUGACUUUUUUCAGUACUUCAAUGGUUGAAAUAUGUGAAGGCUUGAUUGAUACUAAAGCUUGAAAUUGCGACUCUGUCAUUUGUAAAAAAAUAUGACAGCUUCCAUGCUCUCGUUUGGUUGCAUUGUCCGGUCGAGAGGUGCAAAAAGCAUUCUCUCUCUUCUAAUAGUCUUUUCGUUUAAAUCAAGGGAUUUGCCUUCCCGGUCGAGGUCCAAUAGAGGGUAACGGUCACCUACUAAACAUUAAAUGCUCCAACAACUAGUGAACUGAUCGACCCCAGCUCGACUAGUUGAGGUUACUUUUUGGUUUUCUUGUCUCCCGAGGUUAGAAACCUAUAAAUAGAGAGCUUCACUUCAUUUAUGAGUAAGAGAACACCUAAAUUUAUUUGUUUACCUACUUGUUUUUGCCAUAAAAGCUCUCAUUUCUUUUCUUGGUGUAUUAAAUCUCCAUUUGCAUAUCCUUUAGUGCACCUUUGUGAUUCAUUCUAGCCUUGAGUUGUAUUUAAGCCUUUGUUGAGCUAGGUUGAGAGUUUCAUACUUGUUUAUUGAGUGUUAAAGCCUUCAAGUGAGUUAAAACUUGAAGAGAUUGUGUAAGAGCCCAUUGGAGUCGGAAUCCAAGUGUAAAGGUGAUUAAAAGCUUGGUUGAAGCUUCAAGUUAGUGGAACUCUCACUCGGUUAUGAGCUUGAGAAGAGUGGACAUAGACAAGGCAGUGUCGAACCACUAUAAAAUCUGAGUUUGAUUUCUCUAACCUUAUCUCUUUAUAUUUGCUUCUCUUGUGCUUAAAUUUUUUGUGUUUAAAAAGAAUUUUUAAAAACUCAAUUCACCCCCUUCUUGGGAGUUUUUCUCUUUUAAGAUCAGCUUUUAUUUUCUCAAUUGGUAUCAGAACUAUGCCUCUUGUUUAAGACUUAAUCGUCUAAGAGGAAAUGGCUAAUCCAUCAAGUUCAUCUCACAUUGAAAGUUUUGCAACCAAUAGACUUCUUUUUUUUUUUUUGCGGGAACUGAUUAUCCCUAUUGGAAAACUAAAAUGACUUGGUUUUUACAAUCAAUUGAUUUAGAUGUAUGAGAUGCCAUUGAAGAUGACCUAACUUUUCCUUCAAAACUAGUUGAUGGAGUCAUGGUUCCAAAACCUAAGCAAGAAUGGGAUGAGCGUGAUUGAAGAAAUUUUCAAUUAAAUGCUAAAGUCGUUUAUACUUUGCAAUGCUCUAUGGACAGAAAUGAAUAUAAUAGAAUAUGUCAAUGCAAAUCGGUUAAAGAAAUUUGGAGAUUGCUUGAAAUAACUCAUAAAGGAACAAAUCAAGUUAAAGAGUCAAAAAUCAAUUUACUUGUUCAUAGAUAUGAAUUGUUUUUUAUGAAAGAUAAUGAAACUAUUGUUAAGAUGAUCACUAGGUUCACCAACAUUGUUAAUGGUCUUAAAGCCUUGGGAAAGACCUACAAGGAAUCCGAAAACGUGAUGAAGAUCUUGAGGUCACUUCCAUCAAAGUGGCAUACCAAGGUCACCGCAAUUUAAGAAGCAAAAGACUUGAUCAAGCUACCUUUGGAGGAGUUCAUAGGGUCAUUGAUGACAUAUGAAAUCAAUUUGGCAAAGAAGUAACAAAAAGGUGAAGACAAAAAGAAGAAGAACAUAACUCUCAAAGCUACAACUAAGGAAGAAGAAGUUGAAGAAGAAAAACAAAUUGAAGAAGAUGAAGAUUUAGCCCUCAUCACAAGAAAGUUCAACAAAUUCAUGAGGGGUGAAAGGUUUAGAAGAAGAAGGUUCACUUCUAGAAGAGACUUUUCUAAAAAGGAAUCUUCAUCUAAUGGUGACAAAAAGAGAUGGGAAGAGAAAAGAGACUUGGUGUGUUUCAAGUGCAAGAAACCGGGACACAUUAAAUAUGAUUGUCCUCUCUACAAAAGUGAAGUCAAGAGGAAAAAGAAUAAGGCAAUGAUGGCCACUUAGAGUGAAAGUGAAGAUGAAUCAUCCGAAGAAGAAAAUGAGAAAGAAGUGGCAAACAUGUGUUUCAUGGCAAUAGAUGAACUUGAUGAGGUAAAAUCUAACCUUAGUGAUUAAGAUAUACAUGAUGCAUUUGAAGAAUUGUAUGAGGAUUUUUAAAAACUUAGUUUGAAAAAUAUUUCUCUUAAAAAGAAAGUUCAACAACUUGACAAAGAACUUAGAGAAGUAAAAGAAAAAUUUUCAAAUGUUAAAGUUUCUAAAACUCAUCUUGAAAAAGAAAAUGAGAUUCUAAGAAAGAAAAAUGAAUAGUUGAACUCCUCUCUUUCAAUCUUUUCUUCUAGACAAAAAUCUUUUGAAAUGAUUCUAACUAGCUAAAAAUGUGUUUUUGACAAACAAGGGUUAAGAUUUAAAUCUUCAAAAAAUCAAAAGUAUUUUAAAAACUAUUUUGUAAAGGAAUCCACAAGUGCAAGUCCUUCCACUACUUGCAACUUUUGUGGAAGAGAAUGGCACAUUAGUAGUACGCCCUUUAAGAAAUGGUUCUCAAAAGAAUUUAAAUGCAAAAACUAAAAAAGAUUUGGAUUGAGAAAUCCAAGGUCACUAACCCUCAAGGACCCAAAAAGAUAUAGGUACCUAAAUCAACUUGAGUUUUAUGUUGUAAGGUUCAAAGAAUGAUAAGUGGUUCUUAGAUAAUGGUUGCUCAAGACACAUGACCGGAGAUGAAUCCAAGUUUGCUUUUCUUAAAAAGAAAAAUGGAGGAUAUGUUACCUUUGGAGACAAUGCAAAAGAAAGGAUGAUUGGUCAAGGCAACAUUGGUAAUGGCACAUCCUCUCUCAUUGAAAGUGUUUUAUUAGUAGAUGGUUUCAAACAUAACCUUUUAAGCAUUAGUCAAUUUUGCGACAAAGGUUUUUAAGUGAUUUUUUAAGCAUCUCAUUGCAUCAUCAAGGAUAUUCAAAAUGAUAAAACCAUUUUCAUGGGCCAUAGAUGUGAUAAUGUUUAUGCUAUAAAUAUUUCAAAAUAUGAUGGCCAUGAUAGAUGUUUUUCAAGCAUGCAUGAUCAAAGUUGGUUGUGCCAUAGGAGAUUGAGACAUGCUAACAUAGACCUCAUUUCCCAACUCAACAAAGAUGAACUUGUUAGAGGCCUUCCCAAAAUAAUUUUUUAAAAAGAUAAAGUUUGUGAAGCUUGUCAAGUGGGAAAGUAAAUCAAAAACUCUUUUAAAAACAAAAACUUCAUUUCCACAUCUAGGCCACUUGAGUUGUUGCAUAUGGAUUUAUUUGGUCCCUCUAGGACACCAAGUCUUAGAGGAAAUUCUUAUGCAUAUGCUAUUGUGGACGACUUCUCUAGAUACACAUGAGUCUUGUUUUUUAGUCAAAAGAAUAAAGUUUUUUAUGAGUUUUCAAAGUUUUGCAAUAAGAUUCAAAAUGAAAAAGGUUUUUCAAUUACUUAUAUAAGAAGUGAUCAUGGGAGAGAAUUCGAAAAUAUUGAUUUUGAAGAGUAUUGCAAUGAGCAUGGAAUUGACCACAAUUUUUUGGCUCUUAGAACUCCUCAACAAAAUGGGGUAGUUGAAAGGAAAAAUAGAACUCUUCAAAAAAUGACAAGAACCAUACUAAAUGAAAACAACUUACCAAAAUAUUUUUAGGCCAAAACGGUUAACACUUCUUGUUAUGUUUUAAAUAGAGUAUUAUUGAGGCUCAUACUUAAGAAAACUCCCUAUGAGCUUUGGAAAAACAAAAAACCCAACAUUAGUUAUUCCAAAGUCUUUGGAUGCAAUAUUUUAUAAUAAACACCAAAGACAAUCUUGGAAAAUUUGAUGCAAAAUUGGAUGUUGGAAUUUUCCUUGGUUACUCAACUUCAAGUAAAGCUUUUCGAGUUUUAACAAAAGAACCAUGGUUGUAGAGGAGUCCAUCCAUGUUAUUUUUUAUGAAUCUCCAAGAAAGAGAGAGGAUUGAUGAUGAUUUAGGUUUGAAGACCUCUAUAGGAAGAUUGCAAAUCGAAGAUAGAAGACAACAAGAAGAAAAUGGAGAGAAUCCAAAGAAAGAAGGAUCACCAUUGGCACUACCCCCUCAUCAACAAGCGCAAGGUGAAUCAAGUCAAGAGCUUCCUAAAGAAUGGAAGUUUGUCAUCAAUCACCCACAAGAUCAAAUUAUAGGCAAUCCAUCUAGUGGGGUAAGAACUAGAUCCUCUCUUAGAAAUAUUUGCAAUAAUCUAGCUUUUAUCUCUCAAAUUGAGCCUAAAAAUAUAAAUGAUGUUUUAGAUGAUGAAAAUUGGAUAAUUGCAAUGCAAGAAGAGUUAAAUCCAUUUGAAAGAAGUGGAGUAUGGGAAUUAGUACCAAGACCUUCAAAUCAAAGUGUUAUUGGAACUAGAUGGAUCUUUAGAAAUAAAAUGGAUGAAAAUAGCAUAAUUGUUAGAAAUAAAGCAAGAUUGGUAGCCCAAGGUUUUAAUCAAGAAGAAAUGAUAGAUUAUGAAGAAACCUUUGCCCCCGUAGCUAGGUUGGAAGCCAUUAGGAUGCUACUUGCCUUUGCAUGUUUUAAAGACUUUGUUUUAUAUCAAAUGGAUGUGAAAAGUGCUUUUUUAAAUGGUUUUAUAAAUGAAGAAGUAUAUGUUGAACAACCACCCGGUUUUCAAAGUUUCAACUUUCCUAACCAUGUUUUUAAACUUAAAAAGACACUUUAUGGUUUGAAACAAGCACCUAGAUCAUGGUAUGAAAAAUUGAGUAAAUUUCUUUUGAAAAAAAUGUUUUAAAAUGGGAAAAAUUGACACAACUCUUUUUAUAAAAACCAAAGAAAAUGAUAUGCUCUUAGUUCAAAUAUAUAUUGAUGAUAUCAUUUUUGGUGCUACUAAUGUCUCUCUUUAUGAAGAAUUUUCUAAGUGCAUGCAUAGUGAGUUUGAAAUGAGCAUGAUAGGAGAACUCAACUUCUUCCUUGGACUUCAAAUCAAGCAACUAAAGGAAUGAACCUUCAUCAAUCAAGCAAAGUAUAUAAGAGAUCUUCUCAAAAGGUUCAACAUGGAAGAAGCCAAAACAAUGAAGACUCUAAUGAGCUCAUCCAUUAAGCUUGAUAAGGAUGAGAAAGGUAAAUCCAUUGACUCUAUUAUGUAUAGAGGCAUGAUAGGUUCUUUGCUCUAUUUGACCACUAGUAGACCUUACAUUAUGUAUAGUGUGUGUUUGUGUACUAGAUUUCAAUCUUGUCUUAAAAAAUCUCACUUAAGUGUCGUGAAAAGAAUCCUCAAAUAUUUGAAAGGGACAAUGGACAUAGGCUUAUGGUAUCCUAAGAGUGAUAACUUUGAAUUAAUUGGUUUUUUGGAUGCUGAUUUUGUCAGUUGUAGGGUUGAAAAAUAAAACACUAGUGGCACUUUUCAUUUCUUAAGACACUUACUUGUCUCAUGGCAUAAUAAGAAGCAAAAUUUGGUAGCUUUGUCAACAGCAGAAGCUAAAUACAUAGCAACUGGUUUAUGUUGUGCACAAAUCCUUUGGAUGAAAUAAACACUUAGUGAUUUUGAUUUAUCUUUUGAGCAUAUUCCUAUUAAAUGUGAUAAUAGUAGUGCCAUAAGUAUAUCAAAAAAUCUCGUGCAACACUCUAGGACUAAGCAUAUAGAGAUUAGACAUAAUUUUCUUAGAUAUCAUACACAAAAGGAUGAUAUAACACUUGAAUUUGUAAGCAUAAAAGACCAACUUGCCGAUAUCUUUACAAAACCUCUAAGAACAUUUUGUUGAUAUUAGAGGACAAUUAGGAGUGAUUUCUUUAUGAUCUAAUGUGAUGAAUUCUUGAUGAAUAUACUUUUUGAUUGCAUGAAUUUCAUGUCAUAUAUGCAUCAUAUAGAAAUAUACUUAGAUAAUGGUCAAAUUUCGACCAAAAAUCAAAAUUCCCAUGGCAUUAGGCAUAAAAAUUUUGGAAUUUCAACUGAAAAUGGUAGGAGGAGGAUCACAAAAUGAGAAAGUAUGCAAAAAUUGAAAAAUCAAAACGUUGACCAAGCGGUCAAUCGGACUAGACCGAUCGACUAGUUUGUCGAGAUUUAGGAUUUUUAAGAGACUCCAACGCUUCAAUUUUUGCACCGUUCUCCUCUAUUUCUUCACGGUUUCUCUGAUUUUGUCUUUUAGAGACUAAUUUGAGUGCGUUUUGGAUCAAUUGAAGCAUUUUGGAUUGGAUUUUAGGAAGAUUGAAAGUUAAGGUUUCGGAUUUGGGUCGCCUUCUCUUCCUCUCGCGUGUCACAAUCAGCUUUAGCAUUGUUCUCUUUCCAUUUUCACACACCUAGGGUUUCAGUUGUGAGCAUCUCUCUCUCUUUACCAACCACUACUCCCUUGCUUCUUCCAUAUGGCUCCUAGGCGAGAGUCCGCUACUUCUAGGGCACAAGGCAAGCACCCAACUGAGUCGUCUCAGUCAAAGGCACGUCGAAAAGUGAGAUUUGACAUUGCCUUGUUCAGUUCCAUGGAGGACUACCAACUAUACAAGCAACACUUUGCUUAGAGACGAGUAGUUCCCAAGAGAAAUAUUAAUUUUCCUCAACUUCAGCAUUUCGAAUUUAAGGGUCUAUUUACUAGGAUGGUUGGUUGUCUAUUGUCACAAUUUCGGAGCCGGUUUUCCUGACCUUAGUGCGAGUUUUUUACUCGAGGGCGACUUAUGGCAUGGGUGGCAUGAUCAUUUCUACUGUUGGAGGAGUUGAGAUCUGUCUGGACCCAGAGAGCAUCUGCCAUAUUUUCGAUAUUGCUCUGGUUGGACUCAAAGUAUACAAGUCCAAAAUGUGGCCCAUUGUGCCAGGAUUUGAGCUUAGAGAGGUCAUUCAGAGGAUUUGUGAACUUCCAGACGCCCAGGAGAUGGGCAAACCAUUGCCACACAGUUUGACGGUCAUCAACAGGGUGCUACACCAUAUAUUGUGCUCUAUCUUUCUACCACGAAGUGGACAUUGAGAUGAGGUCUCUUAUUAUGAGGCAUUCCUUAUUGACUCCAUUCUAACGGAGAGACGAAUUCAUCUACUAUGUCAUCAUUCACUAAGCCUCCUCACAGUGACAUACCACCUCAUCAGGCACCUCUUGCUCCUGACCAUGCUCCAUUGAUGGAUUUAUUUACUCAUAUUAGCUCUCUAGGCACUCGCAUGAAGGAGUUUGUUGUAGUUAGUGAUACAUGGUUCUACUCCAUAGAGGAUCGCAUGGAUCAGUAUCAGACUGGCUUCACGUCACAGUUUGAGUAUCUCCAAUAGAGGAUUGAGCAUAUUGAGGAUCACUUGAGCAUGAGAAGAUGAUGGCUUUUCUAUGCUCUGUGUUUCCACCUCCACCUCGUCAACCUUGAUUUCUUAGAGACCCAUUGUUUUCAUUUUGUAAUGUUGCCAAAAGGGGGAGAUAUUUAGGAUCUAGGACUCUAUAGGAGACUUACAUGCAUAUCAUUUUCAUAUCAUUGUUUGGAUCGUACAUAUUGGAUAGUGAUACUUUUUACUUAUAUAUGAUAUGCCUAUAUGUUUCAUGUCUUACAUUGUUUCUUAUUGCAAAUUAUCUCUAACAUGUCUUGAUUAUCUUUUUUUUAACUUCAUAAAUUUUGAUUGUUAACCCAUGAUUGGUUUGAGGGGAAGAUUCUUCUUCUCCUAGAUAACCAAGGUUUGUCAUCAUAAAAAAAUUGGAGAUUGUUAGCCCAAGGGUUCUCCUAAUCAUGUUUUGAUGAUAACAAACCAUGCUUAAGUUACUAAUUGGUUUGAAUUAUAAAGAAUUUCAAGUGUUAAUUUGAAAAUUCAUCAAAGAACCUAAUGGAUGCAAGAUCAAGAUUUUUGGAAGACCUUUAAUCAUAAGAAACAUAUGUAAGAUGAAUGCAUGGGUGCACUUAAGAUUUGCAUAUCAUUUCAUGCAUAUUUGGAAAACACGGUUUAUGCUUUAAAGUUACAUUUCCAUCAAAAUUUGAGAUCCAUCAAAUGAACCUUAGGAAAAAUGUUUUAAAAUUGGCAUAUAAUUUUACCUAAAGACCUUGCCUAAGUGUUAGAAGCAAAAGGACAAAAAAAAUAUAGGUUUUCUGGUCAAAAAUGGUGAACCAGUCAAGGCAUUGUCUAAAUCAGCUCAAUCGGCCAAGGUACCGGUCGAUCGGUUUCCCUUUCCCUGUCGAGAUCUAGUCAAGAGGUACAAAAAUCACAAUCUCUGUCUCUUUCUCUCUUUGUCUAUCUUCCAGUAGUCUUUCCUUCCCGGUCGAGGGAUUUGCCUUCCCGAUUGAGGUCCGAUUGAGAGUAAUAGUCACUUGCCAAAUAUUAAAUGCUCCAACAGUUAGUGAACUGGUCGACCCCCACCUUGCCCAGUUGAGGUUACUUUUUGGUUUUCUUGGCUCCCGAUGUUAGAAACCUAUAAAUAGAGAGUUCCACUUCAUUUAUGAGCAAGAGAACACUUGCAUUUAUUUGUUUACCUACUUGUUCUUGCCUUAAAAGCUCUCAUUUCUUUUCUUGGUGCAUUAAAUCUCCAUUUUGAUAUCCUUUAGUGCACCUUUGUGAUUCAUCUUAGCCUUGAGUUGUAUUUGAGCCCUUUUUUUAGCUAGGUUGAGAGUUUCAUACUUGUUAAUUGAGUGUUAAAGCCUUCAAGUGAGUUGAAACUUGUAGAGAUUAUGUGAGAGUCGAUUGGAGCCGAAAUCCAAGUGUAAAGGUGAUUAGAAGCUUGGUUGAAGCUUCAAGUUAGUGGAAUCCUCACUCAAUUAGGAGCUUGAGGAGAGUGGACGUAGCCAAGGAAGUGUCGAACCACUAUAAAAUUUGAGUUUGAUUUCUCUAACAUUGUCUCUUUAUAUUUGUUUAUCUUGUGCUUAAAUUUAUUGUGUUUAAAAAGAAUUUUUAAAUACCCAAUUCACCCCCCUCUUGGGUGUUUUUCUCUUUUAAAAUUAGCCUUUAUUUUCUCACAAACUAUUGUAGUAUAGUGGUUUUUAGGUGUCAUCCAUUAGGAUGAAUUGUUCUCGGUAAUUAAGGCGUGAAUGAGAGGAGAAUUAAUGAUUGUGAUUAAGUAAAAUUGAUUUGAAAAUUCAUGGUGAAAAAUCAAUUUAACAAUGGUUUCUAAUUGAGAAAAACAAUGAAAUGUGAAAUAAAAUAAAAUUAAUAGGAAAUGAAAUUCUCGAAGUUAGAAUUUUCUAAAAAACAAAUUCCAUGGUGAAUGGAUGUUGAGAUCUAAUUUUCAUCAAGUUAGAUUGAAAACCGAAAUUUUCAUAUAAACUGAUUUUUUAUUUAGUUUUAGGUCUAGAUUUAAUUUCCCUUAAAAUUAGGUUAUUUAAUCCAAGAAAUCAAUUCAAAUCAUAUAUUCAAUUCAUCUUAAAUUAUCUUCCAAUUAUUCACACAAUGCAACUAUUCAAUCUCAUCAAAUCUAGCUUUUAAGAAUUUAAUGAAUCUACCUAGUUUGCAUUGUAAUAGUCAUCCAUGACAAUUUGAAGAGAAAAAUAAUUCAAUUAAUCAAUCACUUGGAUCAAAUUACCUUUGCAAUUAAAGUUCAUUUCUCUAAUUCACCACAGAUUUUGUCUCUAGAUCCUCCUUUCUCAAAGAAAAAUGAGAUUUAGCCACACAUGAUUGGAGAUUUGGUCUCAUAAGGCAUGUUUAGCUAGUGAUAAAAUGAGAGAAAAUAAAGAAAAAUAGAGAAUUCGAUUAAGAAAGAAAAUCUAAAAAAUUCUACAAUUAGAAAUGUCCAAAAAGCUUUUUCAUGAGAAAAUCAAGUUUCUAUUUAUAGGCCAAGGUCAAGUGGACACUUGACAUCAUCUAAGAGGUCUUCCGGAAGCUUCUUCAUCAAGAAAUCUGGAGUUUAAUAAUAAAAUGGUCAUUUCACAAGAGCUCAAACAAUUUCGCAUGAUUAUGUGAAAUAAAAAAUGCAACAACAGCAAUUUACAUCUUCUUGGAGCAUUUCGCAUGACUGUGUGAAAUUUUCACAUGAUCAUGUGGAAUCGACUUGACAACUCUCAUUUAGCCUACAACAUAAUUCCACCUUUUGGUCCAUUUUUCAUAGUCAUGCGAAAUGGAAAUAUUUGAUUUUUAAGUUUUCUUUUGUCAUUUCUUUCAUUUCCUUCUCUUGAUUCCACUUCAACUACCUCCGAAUCCUGGUCCAAACCAAUUGCAUUACUUCUUUCAUUAUGCAUUUGGAUCAUCAUCAACAUUAUUUGUUCUCUUCAAUUUGAUUCAUCUCUUUUGUCACCAAUUUAUCAAAAUCAUACCUUGAAAUGACUCCAAAACUUCAUAAAACUUGUUAGUAACUCUUGCAAGGGCAACAACAUAUUAAUUAAGUGUUUUAGGCAUAGUUACUACUCAAAAGAUGCGAAACUCAUGAUAAUUAUUAUAUAAAAUAUGCUCUUUUUGAGUAGUAAUCAACUUUCUUGCAUAAGCAGACCUUUUAGGGUGGAGUACUAAAGACCAAUAUGCUUGUCCUUGUUGUAAUAAAGAAACUUGCUCUUAUUGAUUGCACCAUGGGAGAAAAUUUUGCUACAUGAGUUAUCAUCAAUUUCUUCCCACCAAUCAUAGAUUUAGACGUGACAAGAGGCCUCUUAAUGGCAAGGAGGAACUGACACUCACACUUAUACAAUUAUCGGGCAUUGAUGUGUUGCAACAAUUAGAAUAACUUACACCAAUUAUGUUGGGGAAGUCACAAAAGGCAAACAUGAAAACUAAAAGGAAAAAAGAAAAAUGUUACAUAUCACCACAACUGGAAAGAAAAAAGUAUUUACUUUCAUUUGCCAUAUUGGAAAGCACUUAUUUUACAUCAUAAUAAUUUAGACAUAAUGCAUAUUGAGAAAAAUGUGUGACAAUAUAAUUGAGACAUUGUUCAGUAUUGACGAAGAAACAAGGACAACCUAAAUAGUCAUCUCGAUUUACAAGCUCUAACUAUUAGAAAUGAGAUUCACCCAAUAGAAAGCAGGACCAAAUUUAUUUUGCUUGCAACAUGCUACUCACUCACCCCAAAUGAGAUUAAGGAAUUUUGCAAGUUUUUGAAAUCAAUAAAGGUCCCCAAUGGCUAUUCUUUCAAUAUCUCUCGUUAUGUGCAACUCAAUGAAAGGAAGAUAUAUGAGCUCAAAUUGUAUGAUUGUCAUGUCCUAAUGCAACAACUUCUCUCACUUGUAGUUCGUGGAGUUCUACAUAAGAAUGUUUGUGGAGUUAUCAUAGAAUUGCGUAAUUUUUUCAAGCAAUUGUGCUCAAAGGUGUUAGAAACAAAUCACUUACACCAACUUGAGAACAAUAUUAUUGUCAUACUAUGUAAAAUGGAGCAAAUAUUUCUUCCAUCAUUCUUUGAUAUUAUGGUGCAUUUACUUGUGCAUCUAGUAAGGCAAAGGUUGCAAGACUUGUGCAAUAUUGUUGGAUGUACCUAAUUGAACGAUAUUGUUAUAAUUUCAUAUGAAUCAUUUAAUUUUAUUUUAUAUUAUGUUCAGUUCAUUAACAUGUACAUUGGUCUACAUAUGGAUGAUGAUAGGUACCUAAGCACUUUAAAGUCAUAUGUGCGUAAUAGAACUUUUCUAGAAGGUUCUAUUGUAGAAAGGUACCUUGCAAAAGAAUGUACAACAUUUUAUUCUAGGUACUUGAAUGAUGUGGAAAUAAAGUAUAAUCACAAUGAUAGAAACUUUGUUGGUUUCAACACUAGAGGAGAUGAAAGGGGUUAUCUUUAAACAUAUUGGACAUGCAUUGGGAAAGCCCAUAUUUCAUUAACUUAGUUCAAAAGAGUGGUCACAAGCACAUUUAUAUGUGUUGACAAAUUGCGAAGAUGUCAUACCAUUCAUUGAGUAAAAAAUUUAUUUGAAUUUUAAUUAAAGCUCUAGUUUAUAUCCUUAAUCAAUGUUUUUUAAAUUCACAAGGAGCACAAGCAAACCAUCAAGGCUAGACCACAUAUACGUGUUUGAGACGUAGAUUUAAUUCAUAACAAGGAAUUUAUCAAGUGGUUUGAAAGACAUGUAAGUAUAUUCCUUAUUAUAAGGGAUUUAUUUCACAUUAUGUUUAUAUUGAAUCCAAACCUAUUAUUGAAUUGUAGGUUGAACAAUUACAUAAUGAAGGUCAUAUAUCUGAACACCUUCUCACAUUAUCAUGUGUUCCAAAUUCAUUAGUUACAUGCUUCAAAUGAUAUAUUGUCAAUGGAUUUAGAUCCCACAUUAAAGAACGUGAUAAAAAAGUUUUUAAAAAAAGACUCAGAAUAAUGGAAUUGUUGUAGUUGCAAAAACGUCAAGCUUUACAAGUGCAUGUGAUAUGAGUCCAAUUAUUAGUGAUGCUCUCUACUAUGGUGUUCUAACUAAAGUUGUUGAGUUACAUUAUCUUGGUGAAAAUAAGGUUGUUUUAUUCGAGUUUGAUUGGUGGGAUGUUACAAAUAUUGGAAAAUUGAUAAAAGAUGAUGAGUACAAUUACACAUUUGUUAACUUUGCAUGAAUUCUAACCACGAACGAACGAUUUGUACUUGCAUCUCCAGCAAAGUAAGUGUUCUAUGUGAAGAAUGCGAAUGAAUCAGAUUGGCAUACUAUCAUGGAGAUGCAACCUCAAGACCUCUAUAAGAUGAACGGGAUAGGAUCCAAUGGUGAUUUUGAACCAUUUCAACAAAGUGAACUACAUGAUCACUAAUAUAUCUCAGAUUUAGUUGAUGAAGAUAUAAUCAAGUGGAACAAAAGUGAUGUUUUAGGACUAAUCAUCCUAAAAAAUAUUGUAGUUUCUUAAAAAAAAAAUGAAAAUGAAGAAGAUAAUUGAACCUUUGUCAUACUUUAAAAAGCAACUAUGCAUUGUUCAUUUUGUAUGUUUUGGUUUUCUUCAUUUAAUUUCCUGAUUUUUGUGAUUCAAUGUCAUAUUAUUGAUCUUGAAAUAUUUUUCUAAUUUUUCAUUCUACGAUGGUUUCAACAAGGAUGACAUCAAGUCAAAAAAGGAAAUGUGGUCCCACACACAAUAUUGCAUUACAGGGAUUAAGGUCAGGGAAGAAGGUAAAAGUUGCAUUUAAUGAGUACAAUCAAUUGGUUAAACAGAAAAAUGGAAAACACUUAUCGAGCUACAUAGGGACACUUGUAUCUAACCAACACAAUGUACCUCUCCAAGCUAGUGAUUGGAAAAAUGUUCCAAAUGAUGCAAAAGAGAAAGUAUGGCCUUUGUUUUGGUAUGUUGUAUUUCUCACUAUAUGAUGUCAUUUCACUGUUAUUCUAUUUUGUGACUAACGUUUGAAUCAUAUGUAAGAAAAAUUUGAAGUAGAUAAAGACUGAAAAGAUUACAUGUUGGGUAUAGCCUCAAAUAAAUAUAGAAGCUAUAAAAAUAUGAUGAAUGCAAAAUACUAUGACCCUUGGCAUAAGGAUGCAUGAGGAGAGGUUAAUACAUAAAUCACCAUUUGUCUCUGAUGUUGAUUGGAAGUGGCUUGUCUCUGAUGCAUAAACCAAAUCCCCCACUGAAUGUUUGAUAUUUGAUAGCAGGAAAAACACACCCGCAGCUAUACACCUCCAUCAUUCAGAUAAUUAUAGUGGGGGAGAUGAUUCAUGGUUGCCCUUAUACCCUUUAUUUGCACCAUCUAUUGAGAUUCUUUAUCAUGGCCAGGUUUUACUGCAGCAAUAAGAUAUGGUGGCAACAAUUUUAUCUAUAGGUGCGGUUCCAGACCGCCUCCAUAGGUGCGGUUCCUGACUGCCUCCAUAGGUGCCUCUUCUUGUAAUGUUUGUUCUGGGAAUUACACUUGAAAGCCUUAUCGUGAUAAGGGAUUACAAACACUAGUUCAGAGGACAGCCAUGUUAAACUUCCACUAUGUUUGUGUCACAUUAUCAGCAGCCUAGUGUUUAUUGGUCAUGCUAUCUGCAACUAAUAUAACCCGGUGAACUUCAAUCUAAAUUCUGAAAGUACUCAUGUGACAGAUGGUGCCUUUCAGCAGAUAUCAUCAAUUUAAAAGUAGUGUGUGUGCCUAUAGGUGGGAAGGCCUUGGCAAAUGUUCAGUAUUCCGGUAAUUCAAGAAGGAUAUAUCUAAAAUAGAUUUUCUUCUUGCCCAUUUCAAUAGUUAAAAUUUGAGAAGAUUGUGUCCACAUCACACAAAUAUUAUUGGUCCUUCUGUUGCAAUUUACCUCUGAACAUGUCUUCCAAUUCCCACGGUCCUGUUACUCCAGGAAAACUAUUUCGGUCAUAUUGAAAAAAAAAAUAUUAAAGAAGGUACACAUGCUUUUAAGUGGACUGGGGCAUUCAUAUCAGGUGGUCUGUAUCCACAUAUGCCACUUCGUGAAAGGUGGAACAGCCUAAUCACUAGGCUAUUUAGUGUGGCCCAGCCACGUUAAUCAAGCACAAGUCUUCAUACUUAAAGUCAAAUGGUGUCUUUAGUCUCAUUACACAUCGCUAUUUGAAGAUUAACUCAUCACUAGUGUAAUGCGAUUAAGACAGUCCUAACUCAAUAUUUGUUCUAGUUUUGGAUGCAAAUGCUUGCUGGUUUCAUCAUUGGAUGGGAUAAAGGUGCAAUCAGGACUAUGAAUACGUGCAGUAAUACUUCAUUCUCUUUUUUCUCAAUGAGACUUCUUGGCACAAUUUUGCUGCUCAGCAACCUACCUUUCCAUGGAAAAUCAGUUGUGACUGAUAGUAAUGGAUAUAUUCUAGAAAGCUAAACAUAGAUAGCAUUCAAUAUUAUCGAUAUAACAUUAACAGCGUAUGUCUCAAUGCUCAUCAGCUACAAGCAAUGGACAAACACUUUGAGUAACUCACAGCAGUCAAAAUUCCUAAACAGGACAGACGUGACAGAUCUAUAUAUAGAACACUGCAUAUGAGUCACAGGAAAAGAUAAUACGGGUACAUAGAAGCUCUUAUUUUACAUAUUACUCAUACUGAUCAAAGUCGCUCAGUUGGGAUGGAUGGGAGAAGGAGGUUUGAGGGGUGGCUUGUGCGGGGAAGUUGGCAGCUUCUUUCCGGGAGCUGGUUGCUUCUUUGCUGGAGUUGAAGGAGGCUUAAUCUUCCGAGGUGGCUUGUAUGAGUCUUCAGCAUUCUCAGCAGGAGGGUGACCAGGGUUGUGACCAUAAUGUGGUGGCUUCUCUCCCUUAGGUGGUUUGCCAACUGGGGUUGGUGGCUUGUUUUCUGGGAGUGGCUUCUCUCCCUUGGGUGGUUUGCCAACUGGGGUUGGUGGCUUGUGUUCUGGGAGUGGCUUCUCCCCCUUGGGAGGUUUUUCGAAUGGGGUGGGUUUGUGUCCUGGUGGUGGCUUCUCUCCCUUGGGAGGUUUACCAAUUGGGGUCGGUGGCUUGUGUUCUGGGAGGGGCUUCUCUCCCUGGGGAGGUUUAGUGGGUGGCUUGUGUUCUGGAGGUGGCUUCUCCACCGGAGGCUUAUGCUCUGGUGGUGGCUUCUCGAAGGGGGGAUGCUCAGGGUAAUCACCAAGUGAGGGGGUGGUGAGAACCACCAUGCCAAGCAACAACACUAGCAAGUAUGUAGUAGACAUCUUUGGGUUUGGACUCAGACAGUGCAAAACUACGAGAAAUCGCUAGCCCUUUAUAGCGGCUCGGACCUAAUACUGACAUAAUAUAAAAUAAAUAUUAUAUUUUAUCAAGAGAGAACAGAGUGUAAUUUUAUCAUUAAUACCGAUCGAGGCCAAAGAAAGAAGACCCAUAAUCCAUUUCCCACAAGCAUACACAAUGCAGCUGUAAUUUUAUCAUUUACUUUUAUCCCUUGGACCACUGCAUUUUUGUUGAGAGACACAAUAACACAUUUUUAUCUGUCAUUCAACAUUUACAGUAAAGAGAGGGCACAAAACGCAAUUAGAUAAAUUAUGUUUUGCCUGCUAAAAAGAGGCAAAUAACUUUAUUUGCAACAUAAUUAUUUUGGUUUCUAGUGACCCCGGGGCCUUUCGGUUGGUUUGGGAUCGGAAAAUGAACAUCAUAGGGGGGGUUGUGCCCUUAUGGGCAUAUAUAUCUGAUAGCUUCAACUGGCCUUGUUCCUAGAAAGAAAUUGCCAAAGAUAUAAACUUAUUCCAGGCUGAAAGUAGAUGAGAGUCAUAAUGAACAUCAACCUUUGUUCAGUUUGAUUCAAUGCCCCCAUAGUGUUCAUUUCACAGAUCUGAAUGAUUAUAUCCGUUGAAUACAUAAAUUAAUGAAGACAAAUAUGAAACCCAAGAUACAUCUCUGCAUAACAACCCCAACCCUGGUUGCUAUGUUUCCCUUCUUCUAUUCACAUGAGGAUACUGGUUAUAAUUGUCAAACUUGCAACAAGCCCUUUGACACCUAACGUCAAUGGACGAAUUAAAAGUCUCCUUCAAACGUCUAUUUCACAGCAUGAAGCUUAUAAAGGAUGCUGACAACCUUCAGAGUUAGCGACAAAAGAUAAUUAUCAAGGAGAGAUAGUUCCAUGAGAAUUCCAAGGAGUCUGAAUCAAAGACAAAUUGCUCACUCAAGGGUUCUUAUUUUCUUUUAGGUACAAAUCUCUUGAGUGUUGUUAAAGAAACACGUCACUGUCAUUUUGAUUUGCAUUUAACAUUUCACUUUUGUUCUGGAAGGUUUGUUCCGGAAACAUAUCAAAUGAGCAUCAUUUUCUUCUUCGGUGACACAUGGUCGCGAGUACGUGGGUCCAUUUUCAUGCCACUUAGUUGAAAAGUUGGAAAGAAAAAACAUGCCAACAAGAAGAUAGUGAGAGAAGGGGCACUUCAAGCCUUUAACAUGAACAAACAGUAAAUAAAAGAUGUUUCUCCACUCAUAAAAGUGUGUUAGAUAGCAAUAUAACGAAUCACAUCCAAAAUCUUUACUAGGCUCAAACAUAAAGAAGACUCAUUUUUAAGAAAAGAUAAAAAUGGCAUUGUCUGAUAGUAUCCAAUACACGAGAUGGCACUUAAUUUGUACAAGAUCUGUCAAUGCUGACGCACAUUUUCUGAUUAAAAAAAAACUGAUCAGUCAAAAGCAAUGAAGAGAAGUGAUGACAAUGAAUGAUGCUUCCAAUAUUUUCACCCCUUAUAGUGUUCUUCAUGAUUCAGAUAUAUAAUUGGAAAUAGAACAACCCUAUGCCAUACAUUCGUCUAAGUAUGGUGUCUAAUUUUUUGUGUCAGCGGUUGCGAAUGGAGCGUGCAAAAGUCCAAAUUGGCGUCUCUCCAUUUCCACAUAGGAAGGUGACCUUUAUUGACAAAUACCCAAUAUUUGUAGACAUUCCUUAAAUAUCAUAACUUCUUGUUGAUUUGAAAAUCAUUUUUCAACUACCAUGUUUUAAUAAAUAUUUUUUAAAAUGUAUUUUUAUCAAAGUCCACCAUGAUGGAUAAUAUUCACCAUGCAAUAAUUAAUAAAGUACAAACUAAGCGAAAUGAAAAGCAUUUUCUUUGCUUUGAGUUGAUUUUGGUUGCAUUGAGUUGAUUUUGGUUUCAUGGUUUUUUCAACUCUUAUUUUGAUUGGAAGAUGUCAAGAAAAGAAAACAUAAAGAAAAAUUAAAAGGGAAAAAAGAAGAAAAAUAAAAAAAAAUAGAUUUAAAAGUUAAUAAAUUAUUUUUUAUAUUUAUUUUAAUUCAUUUCACUUAUUUUUCUUUUACUAUAUAAAAUUUAAAUAAUUUAAAUUUUAUAAUUAAUUUAAUUACAUUUCAUUUUCUUCUAUAUUUAAAUAUUGGAAAAAUAUUUUACUUAAUAUUUUUUUCUUUAAUUUCUUUGGCAUUUUGGGAACCAAACUUAGCCUUUAAAAUAAAAAACAAAAAAAAAAUGAAAAUAAGGAGGGAAAAGUGAGAAAAGAUAAAAACAAUAUGUAAAGGAUUUGAAAAGUAUUAGUUUGUAAUUACUAUUUGGAUUUCAAUAGUAUUUUAUUUGUCUUUCUAUAUUUCAUGUAAGAGAGAAUUUAAGAUAUUCCCCAAGGCAAAGCAUUAGUUACCUGCAAUCAGUGGUGAUAAGGCUCCAAGCCAAUUUUGGGCCCCAUAUCUUAAGACAGUACAAUUUCCAUUUCAACAUUUCUGAUUUCUCAGAUGUUUCACAUACCACAGAAGAACAUUGUUUGUGAAAAUAUGCAUUUAUGUUGGAUUUUGUAUGCUGUGGGGACUGGGGCAAGGAUCAUAUGGAAGAGUGGUUGACUUUUUCUGUACUUUAACGGUUGAAAUAGGAUAAGCACGGGCAUUUGUGAGGCUUAAUUGAUUUUGAAGCCUGAAAUUGCGUUUCUGUCAUUUUGUCAAAAAAAUGGCAGAUUCCAUACUCAUAUGUUUGGCCUGUGGCCAUGUACAGAUGCCAUUUAGUGACCAGUUUGUAACUGUCAAUCGUUGCGUUUUGACUCUGCCUCAACAACAUCUGCCAUUGACGGGUUUUCAUACUUGCAAAUCAAAUAGUCUUUCGUCCCAUCAGGAAUUUCGGUUUAAAUAUUAUUAAGCAUACGUUUGGCUGACAAUCAUUAUCCAGUUCAUGAUUUGGUUUCUUACCCUUAAUCAAUGGUUUCUAAGUGAAUAUAUGUAGAAGGAAAUCCGAAGUGUAGACAGUAGUAUCGAUAACUCUCAAUAUUCUCUAUAUAAUAGAAUAAACAGCGUCAUAGUGAUCGUCGCCUACAAGCAAGGUACAAAUACCAAAACGAGUGACUCACAUAGACAUCUCCCAACAAGAUGUAGUAGUGACUGACACAUGGACACAAUUAACUCGUAGAAAAGGAUAAGACCAUUGCACAGCAGCUCUUAUUUUACAUACUACUUAUGCUAACCAAAGUCAAUUAGUUGGGAUGGGUGGGAGAUGGAGGUUUGUGCGGUGGCUUGUGGGGCGGAGUUGAUGGCUUCUUUCCAGGAGCUUCUGGCUUUUUCAUCGGAGCUGAAGGAGGCUCAAUCUUAUGAGGCGGCUUGUAUGAGUCUUCUUUACUCUCGACAGGAGGGUGGCCAGGGUUGUGAUCAUAAUGUGGUGGCUUCUCUCCCUUAGGUGGCUUGCCAACUGGGGUUGGUGGCUUGUGUUCAGGAAGUGGUUUCUCUCCCAUGGGAGGUUUAGCAAUUGGGGUUGGUGGCUUGUGUUCUGGGAGUGGCUUCUCUCCCUUGGGAGGUUUAGUAGGUGACUUGUGUUCUGGAGGUGGCUUCUCCACCGGAGGCUUGUGCUCCGGUGGUGGCUUCUUGGUUGGAGGGGGCUUGGGGUAAUCAGCAAGAGAUGGGGUGGUGAGAACCACCAGUCCAAGGAACAACACUAGCAAGUAUGUGGGAGACAUUUUUGAGUUUGGGCUGAUCAGAUGAUGCAAAACUAAAGCAUUACGUGACCUUUUAUAGCAUGUAGCUCCCAAUACCCACUAAGUAUUGUGGGGUCCAUUUGUGCCCUACGGGGUUGAAAACUUAGACAAUUGGGCAAGGACCCACCUGACUAUGGAGGACUAGUGAGGUGUGAUCAUAGCUUUAGGAUUUUUCUUCCUCUGCAGCCGUCGUGCCGUUGGCAUGAUUUUCUUAAUCUUAAAUAAAGGCAUAGUUAUAGAGUUGUUUAAUCUCUAAAUGGGAUUUUAUAUAUAUCUUCAGAUAGCCAUUAAUAUAUUUGAUGAAGAAAGAAAGACAAGUGCAUACAACAUGUAUACGACUAGCUUUCAUGGAGUUCAUUUAUGAUCAGUUUUCCUGUACAUGUAAACCAGGAUCAUAUAUAUGUUUCUGUUCCACAACUAUUUUGGAAUCUUGUUUAUCAGUUUUUAUCAUUAUAAUGUCACAUAGGCUGCCAACUUGGGCGCUAAAAGAACCAGUUGGGCUAGUUCGUUUCAGAAUUUCAAUGUGGAUUCAGGAAUUGUUUUGUAAGAUAUGCGAAAUAGUAGAGGGAUGAAUAGUGUUUCAUUAAUAAAAGUGUCCUGUAAAUUAGAAGGUGUCAUAGAAACUAUAAUCAAUAAAUAACUUUUUUUCCCCACGGGUGGUGUUUCUUGUGGGGAUCAGUGACUGGUUUAGGUUCACCCAAAAUGAGUUCAGACUAAAAUUGGUUUGAGUCAAUGCCGUGUCUCUUUUUUCCAGAAAUCAACUAUUUUAUGCAUUGAAUAAAUCAUACAAAGAAAAUAUGAACGCCCGCAAAACCUAAACCCUGGUUGCUAACUUUCUAUGUUUCAGUUCUAUUCACGCAAGAAUAUUAGUUUAAGUUUGGGAAAAAUGGCAACUUACCUAGUGAUUACUUGGUUUUGGUUUGCGACUAUUUACGCAACCAACCAUGAGUUUGACUUUAACGUCAUGGGUUGAAGCCUCCUACAGGAAGGGAGAAAGCUCCACAGCUAGCUCCAAAAGAGAAUUAUCACAUUGAUAGCUCCAGAGAUUCCCAAGGGGACUGAAUCAAAGACAAGUUCCUCACUUUUUCUUCUUUUGAGGCCAAAUAUGAACCAAGGAUCACACAACCUCAUUCAACUUCAUAAGUUUGAUUUCAUGCAGUUGAACACUGGGUGAAGGCCAUGACAAGAAUUGAUUCAAAAAUUCUAUCACUCUUUUAAGUAAUGGAAGAUUAUUAUCUCUGAUUGGCAUCACAACAGCACAUGCUCCUAGAUCUUUCUAGACACUCCAUGCAAUGAAAGCACAAUGGAUCUUGUAACGAUAGAAACUAAGCCAUGCUACAGUACUAGAUGAUGAGGUAAAACUAGUAGACACGGGUGGCAGCCUAUAUGGGAGGGACACAAGUCUAAUUGAUUUGCAUUUCAGCAUUAUAGAUAGGUAUGUUUUGGAAGAUUUGUUCUGGAAAUACCGCACCAAGUAGGAUUCUUUUUCUCUUUAGUGGGUCCACUUGCAUGCCAAUUAACGAGUUGAAAAGUAUGAGCACCUACCUCGUGCUCGUGGAACCGAAGGUCAGUGAAGUGGGGCUCCUUUUGGCCUCGUGUAAACUUGAUUCAGAAGUGAAGUUAAUAGUCUUCCAUUCAGAUGGAUACAUGGGAAUUUUUCUCUUUUAUUUAUUUAUUUAUUUUUUUUUUGUGUGUGUAUGUCAAAGGAUAAUGAAUGAAGCGCGUUAGCUUGUUUUCUGACUGGAACCGCAGAUGUCCAAAUUGGAGUUCCUUCAUUUCUUACUUAGGAUUGUUACAUGUAUAAACAAGGUAUAAGAAAUAUGCCAACGUGUCUUGAGGAGUUAUUGAUUAGAAAUAACAAGUCACCCGACUGUAGAGUUCCAAGAUUUGAAUCUUCAGACCCUAUAGCAGCCUCUGGGGUACGUGGCAUCCUAUAGCAUAUUAAUGAAGGCUUUUUCGAUUUAGACUUCACAAUACCAAUUAAUAUGUAUGCACAAAAUGGAGAUGACCCCAAAAAAAACAGAAUCGCCAUAGUUUAUGAGGUUAAGGUGAUUCUCCACUUAAUAUCUACAUUAGCUAAUUAUGUAAAUCAAAUGAACUUCUAUUUUUCCUUUUUUUUUUUGGUUUAUGUCAAAUAGUAGCCCAUAAUUAACCCAACCAUUAGCCUGUUUGAAUUGAUUUCACAUGCACAAUGUUGUAGUAGUUCAUAUUUUGAAUUUUAUUUUUACAAAGGUAGUUAAGGAAAAUGAAGUAUAAUAAUUAUAAAAGCAGACUAUAUACACUACAAUAAUUGUUAGAAUGGUAUCUCAAAUUCUAAUUUAAAAUAUUAUUUUUUGUAAAAGAAAUAUUAUAUAGAAUAUUUCCUAAUUUUAUAAAUGAUUAUAAUUAGAUCUUUAUAAAAUAAGGAAAGUUGGUAAGAAUAUCUUUAUAAAUAUUUUAGGUCAUGAGAGAAAGAAAUGGGAUAAAAAUGUGAUGAAGAGGUGAAAUAAGAGAGUUGAUUAGGAUAUAGAUGUGAAGAAGAAAGGGAUUCAAUAUAUAUAUAUCUUUCAAUUACCACAUUAAAACCCUGUGAACCUUUUAUAUGGUUUACUUUAUUUUUAUAUUCCUCCUUUAAUAUAUUUACAUUAAUGCUUCCAUUGGCACAACAAUAACGAAUUACAAAUACAAGCAACAAGUCCCAUGUUUUAUUACCAAAAGCAGGUAAAAUCCACCUAAUAUAUUACAAUAUAUUCAUCCAAUAUUUUAGACCAAUUCUUCACCAUAAAUAUCAUAAUGUGGCUUUUGUUCUUUCUUAAAUUUAAAUUGAAUUGUCUUAUAUCAAUUUGUUUGUGAUUUUUUCAUUAACUUCACUUUCAUUUGGUUAUCUUUGGUUUUUGAAAAGUAUUAAGGAAUUAAUUAACAAAAUAAUGUUAAGAAAAAUAAUUUUCUCUCUUUUGAUUUUGAUUUUGUAGUAGAAAAAUAUAAUUAAAAUUAUUUAAAAAGUAUGUAAUUUUAAAUUAUUUAAUAUUUAGAUAAAAAAAAUAAGUCUAAUGAGUUUAAAAUAACAUAUAAAAAUAAUUUAUUUAUUUUAAAUUUAUUUUUUAUUUUCCAUUAUGUUCUCUUUCUCUUUUACUUUUUCAUAUUUUUUCUUACGAAGAAUCAAACACAACCUCAUAUUAUAUGUCAAGUGUUUGUCUAUAUUUGAGCAAUGUUAGAUACGGCCAUGGAUUCAUCAAACUAAACUGAUUUUAAUAGAUACUUCACAAAUUGAUUUAUACACUAAAUCAUUGGAUAGCAAUGAUGCAUUGGAAUUAAACGUAGGAUGAAGCUCGAAGAACACUGUUUGUGUAACAACAUAUUUAUGAAAUUAUGCAAAGGAUGAGCUUCGGGGUAGUAGUACAAGGUCAUUAAUGGAGAGCCGUGUUAAACCUUGAUUGUGAUUGGAUUCCGUUAUCAGCAACAGCAACCUUGUUUGUAACCUUGAAAGUCAUUCUGUCCACAUCGAAACUCCAAUUUGACGUUUGUAAUUACCAUUCCUGGAGUGUUCCUUGAUUGAAAUUUAAAUAAUAAUUGCGGCCCACAAGGAAUAUUUUCGAUUCUGUGGGAAUUUGACAAGGUUUGUUAGAGAAGACUGGUGACAUGUUGACUUCAAUGGUUCAAAUAGGAGACGUAUGUGGAUUUGGGGGGUUUAAUUGAAACUGAGUCCCUAUGGCUUUUUAAUAUUUGCAUUGAGCAGUCUCCAUGUGACUUCCUAAUUCCCACCAACCCUCCUGUCCAUGCUGUGAAACUAAAUUGUAAUUUAUCAGCCUUUGUCAAUGGUUUCUAAAUUAAAGAUAUAGACCAUGCAUGUACUUUAAUAAAAGCAAAUCUAAAGUGUAGAUAGCAGCAAUGGUGACACCCAAUAUUCUCCAUAAAAUAGAAUUAGAAUAAGCAGUGUUACAUUGUUCAUGAUCACCUACAAGCAUACAAGAACUUCCAUGAAUAACUCAUAGCAAUUGCCAACAGGGCGUCGUAGAGACUCAUACAUAGAACACUAUCCACCCAGAGGAAAGGACAAGACCAGUGCGCUGCAGCUCUUAUUUUUCACAUGUAUACCACCACUCGUAAUAACCAAAUUCACUCAGUUGGGAUAGGUGGGAGAUGGUGGUUUGUGGGGUGGCUUGUGGGGAGGAGUUGGAGGAGGCUUUAUUUUCUGAGGCGGCUUGUAUGAGUGUGCAGGAGGAUGCCCGGGAGUGUGACCAUAAUGUGGUGGCUUCUCUCCCGUAGGUGGUUUGCCAAAUGGGCUUGGUGGCUUCUCUCCCUUAGGAGGUUUACCAAUUGGGGUUGGUGGCUUGUGUUCUGGGAGUGGUUUCUCUCCCUUGGUAGGUUUGCCAAUUGGGGUUGGCGGCUUAUGUUCUGGGAGUGGCUUCUCUCCCUUGGGAGGUUUGCUAAUUGGGGUUGGCGGCUUAUGUUCUGGGGGCGGCUUCUCUCCCUUGGGAGGUUUGCCAAUUGGAGUUGGCGGCUUAUGUUCUGGGAGUGGCUUUUCUCCCUUGGGAGGCUUGCCAAUUGGGGUUGGCGGCUUAUGUUCUGGGGGUGGCUUCUCUCCUUUAGGAGGUUUGCCAAUUGGAGUCGGCGGCUUAUGUUCUGGAAGUGGCUUUUUUCCCUUGGGAGGUUUGCCAAUUGGGGUUGGCGGCUUAUGUUCUGGGGGUGGCUUCUCUCCCUUGGGAGGUUUGCCAAUUGGAGUCGGCGGCUUAUGUUCUGGGAGUGGCUUCUCUCCCUUGGGAGGUUUUGUUGGUGGCUUGUGUUCUGGAGAUGGCUUCUCCCCUGGAGGCUUGUGCUCCGGAGGUGGCUUCUGAAAUGGCGGGGGCUUGGGGUAAUGAGCAAGAGAUGGAGUACUGGUGAGAACCACCAUUCCAAGCAACAAUACUAGCAAGCAUGUGGGAGACAUCUUUGAGUAGUUGUAGCUAAGAUGGCGCAACACUGUAGGCAUUGGGUGGCCUUUUAUAAAGGGCUGGACCCAACAGCCAUAUGACACGUGUCAUGAUGACAAAUGAAGUUGAGGGGAUCCAGAUGGGUCCUACUGAGUCGAAAACUUGCACUAAUUGAUCUGGUGAGAUGACUAUUUCUGUCCUUUUGCCCUUCUCGGCCACCCUGUGCUGUUUUCCUUUUGCACGAUUUUCGUUGCCAAACAAGCAAAUAAUAUUUCGCCAAGAAAGAGGAGAGUGAAUGUGGAAUGCAUCAAGUCCCAUCAAGGAUGGCAGAGAAGAAAUAGAAGAUUGCCCAACUGUGAUAAACAUAGCAUACACGUAGCACCAGGAACUUCAUUUACUUCCAUCUAAUGGAACAUAACAAUCUUCUAAAGUUUUUGCAUGAUUUUGUUAUAUGUCUCUUAGCCUAAAGUUGGAAAUGCGCAACAAAUUUUGUCACUUCUCUAUUUCCCACUGAUGAUGUUAAUUAGCCUUCAUAGAUAUCAUCCUUUCUACAAAGUGCUUCAUUUGUGUGUUAUUGUAAAGUGUAAGAAAAGUAAUUGAACAUGUUCUUUUUCCUUUCAUAGAUGACUUUUGAUGUGCAUUUUAAAAGCAGCGCUGUGAGUCGGUGACCUUGAUUCACACGGAAACUAAGGCUCCUAUAGGACCCACUUUUAGCUGGUUAGGGGUGAAGAAAAUAUCAACUUUUCAGAGUGAUUUAAGUCAAGGCCAAGCCUCACUGUGUCAUUACUCGUGUGAAUUUUAUAUGCACAUACAUACAUAAAUAAAGUAUGAGACCCAAAUAACACCUUCCCUUUACAAACUUAACCCCAGCCGCUCUCUUUCAAUUCUUUUCACACAAGGGUAUUGACUCUAUAAAGGUCAAGAAAAUCAUAAUUUCCUAGGGUUUACAAGGUAAUUGGCUUAAUGCUAAUGUGAAAACAUAAAAGAUAAUAGUAUAUUGUAAGCUAACGAAUAUUCUAUAGUUAUAAUUAUUUGUGAUGUGCAUAAAUAAAUCUUCAUAUAUAUAAUGGAACAAUGAAUAAAGAACCAAUGAAAAAAUACUAUAUAUCAUUGCUUGGCAUUUAAACCGUAUAUGCUGCUCUUUCUAGCUACUCCAUCCACUGAAAGACAACAAGGUAAUCCAUGUUAUAAUGAUAGAAGAUACUGUCUCUAGGCUUUUUGUGAUGAAAAAUAUAAGAUAUGGGUAGGGUUGACCCUUGUAUGUUUGUCCUAUAAACACUUCAAAGUAACAUAUUUUUCUUCUUUAGCAACUCAUAAUGAUGGGGUUCAUUUGCAUGUCACUGAGUUGAAAAGUUGGACAAUUGCCCAUGUCGCCUUCCUCCUAGAUUCCGUAGUUCACGGGAAGGUAACUCAAGUUUGACAUAUUUUGAAUUCUUUUCACUCGGACGUCUUCAUAACCUGACAAAACAAAAAUGAAAAACAGAGGAUUGGUAUAUUAUUCAUGGUAAGCCUCAAAUUAUAGUAGUAUGAGAAAGGAGAAAAAGAUUUUGGGAACUCCAAUCUGGAUAAUUCUCGUUUCUUCUCUUGAAUAAAAAUUUCACUUACCUAACUUCGUUUGGAGAAAUGGCAUAUUUUAAUUUUGUACGUCAUUGCUAAUAAAUGGAGCAAUUUAGCAUGUUUUGUGACUGAAACUGCAAAUGUCCAAUUGGCAUUUCUUCAUUUCCCACUUAGGAUCUGAUCUUGUAGACCAUAUAACGAUAUGUAUCUGUGCAAGCAUUGAAAACUAAUGUGAACUAUGAGGAGUUACAAGCCACUGGACUGUAGAGCGAGUGCCAAGAUUUAAAUCUUCAGGCUCUAUCUGGGUAAGGGGAGGAUAGCGACCUAACCUUUUACCAAAGGCUUAGAAUUUAGACUUUUGGAAAAAAAUUUCUCAUGUUUUGGCUGGAUUUCUUGUGCUUGGCGCAAAAAGGAGAUGGCCUCAAGAAAUAGCAGACUCACUUUUGUUUUCAGCCCUUAAUAAUUCUCCACUGCUUUCCAUAACUACAUGGGUUAUACAUGCAGUCUGCUGCAAUAUUCCAGUUAUAUUUAUUAUUUCAAAGAGGGUGAAUGACUUCACAUGCAAUAUGUUGCAGUAACAACCCAAAUUUUGGCACACCAUCUUAAGAAUAGAAAAGUAUAAUAAAAGAAAUCAAUCAGAGAAUCACUUUGCAUGCAGUUCAUAGAGUUCGCCCAAAAUGGAGCCACAUGUACGGACAACCCCACAAUAGACAAUCUUCUCUAUACAGUAAUAAAAUACAGAAAUGGUUAAUGAAGCUCUGUAUUUCCUUAUCAUAUAUGACCGGUUGAAAACUCAGCAAGUCUUCCUCAAUCACAGACAGUUGGAGUUGCUUCAUCAAAAUCAUGCCUUCAUUACUGGCUUCAUUUUGGUUUCAAUGUCUGUUCUACCCUUAAAUUGGGUCUCUGCUUACUACCGGGAUAUCCUUUAGCGUCCUGCAAUUCUACUAGAUUAAAGAGAAUGACUUAAUUCUGCAUUCUGCCGUCCCUAGUCCAAGUGGUACUAGAAUUGAUGUUUCCUUUAGUGUCCUUUCUUCAUACUUUCAGGUUCUUCCCUUGUUUCAAUAAUGCUGUUUUCCUUCAUGUUUAACCUCUGUUGAACCACUUAAAACAACACAAUUUGCACACCAAUGUUUCUUUACAGAAAAGACUGUUUGCAAAAAUGCACAUGUUAUAAGGUUAAUGGAAGAAUUAAUUUGGGGAUAAGGGACUAGGAUUGGGCCAAUGAAGUUUGGUGUUAAAUUUUGAUUAUGAUUGCUUUUCAUUAUCAGGUACCUUAUAUUUGCUGAUGCUAUCUGGAACUAAAUUCAAAUCAGACAUUAUCCGAUUACUAACAGGACAUAUCAUGUCCCUCUGCAGAGUUUCUAAACUAACAUGUAUCGAAAUGUGGCCCCAAAAGGAAGGCUAGGAAGAUGGAGGAUUUUGUAGGAAUCGACCAGAAUCAGAUGGAAGAGAGAUAGUCCUGUUGACUUUAAUGGUUGUGAUAGGAACAUGCAUCAUUAUAUGAGAAGUUGCAUGAAUUUAUGUAUCCUGUUAUCGUUCCUUGACGAUUUCCCAAUGCAAUUUCACUGUCCACAAGACUAACCUCUCCAUGCAGUCAAAUGAAUUGUAAUUUCUCUAUUGGUACCAGUAGUACAUUUCAUACCAAACAUAUAGUAAAUAUAAAAUAUAAAUAGAUCAAGGAAAUCUGAAUUGUAGAUAGCACUGCAAGUAACACUCAAUAUUCUCUAUAUAUAAUAAAAUAAACAGUGUCACAAUACUCAUCACCCAGUGGCAAGGGAGAAAAACCUACAAUGAGUACUCAAAUCACCAUUCUCAAACAGAAACAUAGCAGUGACUGAUACAUAGAACCUAUAUGCUCACAGGGAAAGAAUAAGAUGACCAGUGCACAGCGGGCAGCAGCUCUUAUUUUACGUACAACUCAAAUCCCAAACUAACCAAAGUCGCUCAGUUGGGAUGGGUGGGAGAUGGUGGUUUGUGGGAUGGCUUCUGGGUAGGAGCUGGUGGCUUCUGUCCCUUUGGUGGUUUGCCUAAUGAGCUUGGUGGCUUGUGCUCCGGGAGUUGUUUCUCUCCCUCGAGUAGGUUUCGAGUCUUGUCAGAUGGCUUGUGUUCUGGUGGUGGCUUCUCUCCCUGGGGUGGUUUGCCGAAUGGGCUUGGUGGCUUGUGUUCGGGGAGUGGCUUCUCUCCCUGGAGAAGGUUACGAGUUUUGUCAUAUGGCUUUUGUUCUGGUGGUGGCUUCUCUCCCUGGGGUGGUUUGCCGAAUGGGCUUGGUGGCUUGUGUUCGGGGAGUGGCUUCUCUCCCUGGAGAAGGUUACGAGUUUUGUCAGAUGGCUUGUGUUCUGGUGGUGGCUUCUCUCCCUGGGGUGGUUUGCCGAAUGGGCUUGGUGGCUUGUGUUCGGGGAGUGGCUUCUCUCCCUGGAGAAGGUUACGAGUUUUGUCAGAUGGCUUUUGUUCUGGUGGCGGCUUCUCUCCCUGGGGUGGUUUGCCAAAUGGGCUUGGUGGCUUGUGUUCGGGAACUGGCUUCUCUCCCUUGGGAGGUUCAGUUGGUGGCUGCUGUUCCGUAGGUGGUUUCUUCACCGGCGGCUUGUGCUCCGGAAGCGGCUUCUCUACCUGGAGAAGCUUACGAGUUUUGUCCGAUGGCUUGUGUUGUGGUGGUGGCUUCUCUCCCUGGGGUGGUUUGCCAAAUGGAGUUGGUGGCUUGUGUUCGGGGAGUGGCUUCUCUCCAUUGGGAGGUUUAGUUGGUGAUUGGUGUUCCGUAGGUGGUUUCUGAAGUGGGGGAUGCUUGGGGUAGUCAGCAAGAGACGAGGUAGUGAGAACCACCAGUCCCAGCAGCAACACUAGCAAGCAUGUGGAAGACAUCUUUGAGUUCAGGCUGAGAUCUGUGCAAGGAUAACAGAAUUAGGUGGCCUUUUAUAGAGGCCUGGACCCAACACCCAUAUGACACGUGUCAUGCACUCAUGGUGACACAUAAUUCUAUGGGACCAUUUGGGUCCUACAGAAGUUGCAAAGUUGGACUACUGAGGUGUGAUCACAACUUUUGUCCUUAUUGCUUUCUCUGCGGCCAUUGCACGAUUUCCUUUAGCAUCAUUUUCUUGGCUAAAUAAGCGUAUUAUAUUUGUGGCAGACCGUCCACGUGUCAUAAACAGAUAUAUUAUAAUAAUGUAGUAUGCUUUUCUCCAAUGGAACAUGACACUCUUCUAAGUCUUGUUUUAAAUAUUGUGCAGGAUUACUUUAUACGUUGCAGUUCCAAGUCAAAAUUGGUGGGCAAACGUUGGCCUUUUUUCAUUUCACCUAAGAUUAAUGCUCACCUGGGAUAGGCACUACAUGACUUAUCUGCUCUUUUACUGUAAAGUUGCUUUGUGUAUGAGAUACACCUCCCCUGCACACCCUCAACAUUCGUUGCUCUGUUUUCCUUGUGUCCAGACGAGGAUAUUAAUUGGAGGCUGACAAAACGACUGCUAGCCCAGGAUUUACAAGGUCCUGGUUUGAGGCUUCGGUGAAAGUAUUUUUGAAAAGACACACAUAGAGAUAGUGCGUUUGGUGCAAUGCAGCACUGUGAGCCAUUCUGACGCGUUCUUAAUUUCAAAACUAAUGAAUGCUUCAAAAUUUUAAGAAGUGACAUUUCCAAAUAUUUGAGUUCGUUUAAUUGAACAUUGGAUAACUAGUGAUCAUAGAUUAUUAUCUGUGCUUGGCACUAUAAGAGGGUAUAUGCUUCUUUUUCUGGCCCCUCCUUCAAGGGAGGAGGGACAAUGUGAUCUGUAACGUUAGAAGCUAUUCCAUGUCAUCUUUGGGCUCAGUUCAAAACUAAAAGAUAAUGGGGGGGGGGGGGGGGGGCAUAUCAUUUUAUAUUUCUUCUAGAAGGUUUGUUCUGGAAAUAUUUCACAGGAGCAUAUCUUUUUCUUCUAUUACGUCAUCCGCAGCCUCCAAUAGGUCGGUUAACAAGCCACCGAGUUGAAAAGUUGGAAAAAUGGGAACACAGCCCGCCUCUUGUAUUCAGUAGUUAAAUAAAAGGUCACUAGAAGUGAGAUCCCUUUUGGCGUCUUGAUUUUCAAUCCAGCACCUCUGUGACCUGACAAACCAAAAAAACUAAAAAAUAAAAAACAGUACGUGGGUUGGUGUUAAGCAUCAAGACAUGUUAAUGAAAGAAGGUAGAGAAUAGGAUAUUGAAAUCCCAAUCCUGAUAACAUGAUUUUCUUUGCUAACAACCAUAUUAUAUUUUAUCAAGAAAGAGUAAUGCAUGUGGCGUCCAUCAAGACCCAUUAGAGUUCCGCUAAAGCUAUAGUUCUGUCAACGUUAUCAUUUACGUUUCCUCUAGAUAAUGGCAUUUUCCUCUAAAGCUCUUGCACCAUUAGGCUUCAAGUCAAAAUUUCACAUGUGAACUUUGGAAAUUUUCUCCAUUUGCCCCUAAGGAUACAGUUAGAAUUGACUUAAAAUCCUGAUUGAUAUGUACUAUUAACCAAAGAAUAUUGUAUAUAAUAAUUGAAAUAUUGUUGAUUCAUCGUGGAAAUACAUUUUGUAAGGAAAGUUGUUGAGAAUUUAGUAUGCUAUAUGGAGAAAAAAGUCAUGACUUAAGGUUGUGUAUGUAUAUUCUAUAUCAAAUAUUAGGUAGGAAUGUGGGAAAGAGCAGAGUGUAAUGAUAAGAAACAAAGAAAUAUAAGAUAUUCUUGAAAGUGGAAAAUAUAAAAUGGCUAACGAGUCAAAUUUAUGAUGCGUAAGGGGGAUCAUGUCACAUAAGAAAACCAUGGCAUACUAAAGACGUACGUGUGGUAUGGAGUAAUAAUUUUGUUAAAAUAAGUUUCUUGUUGGAGUACAUUAGGUGACUAUUCAUAACGUAUCAAAUUAAAGAGUCAAGUGCAUCAAUGAAGGCAUAUGUAGAAAAUUUGUUUGUGACAUGUACCAUAAAGAUAAGAUUGACUUGAUAGAAUUUAGUCUAAGUAGGAGUUGUUAAAGGUGUCUUAAAUUUCUAAUUGAUGUAUAUUUUUUUCUAAAAAAAUAUUAUAUAGAUAUUUUAAUAAAUGAUUAAUUCUUUGUAAAAAUACUUACAUAAUAAAAAACAUCAUUAAAAAUAUCUUUAUAAAUAUUUUAAGUUACAAGAAGGAAAAAAACCACUGUGAGAUAAUGAUGAACAUGCAACACUGUACCAAGUAAAUAAAAAUGUGAUAAAAAAAAAAGAGAAACACUCGAUAAAGGAAGGCUCGUAUAUAAAGAGUAAUAUUUUUAAUCAUAUGAUAGAAUGAUUUUCUCUCAUUCAUGAAUAUAGGCAAGAUUGGGGAACCAUUAUAAAAUUUUGUACACCUCGUGUAAAUUGAUGUUUGUCUUCAUAUUUUACACCAACAAAUGACAUUGAAGUUGUCAUUGAUAAAAGGGAAAAGGCAUGCCUCCACACCAUGUGCUUGAUUCGAAUGGUUCAAGUUUGAAGAAUUUUCUCCGGAAGAUCUAAAACAUUUUCGCCUUUAAAUUUCAUUUGAUUAUUAAUAUCCGAAAAAAUAGUUAAAUACUCUUUCUAUUUUUGAGUUGUUGAAUUUUUUGAAAGUUUUUAUAUUUGUUAUCAAGAAUUUCUAUUUUAUUAAGGGUGAAUAUUUAUAAAUAAGAUAUUAUAUAAUAUUUGGAUAAGAGAGAAUGGUGGAAUAUAAUAAAGUUUUAAUCCUUCCCAAUUUUGAACCUUUUUUUUUUUUUUUGAUAUAAUCGCCUUUCUCUUGCAAUCCUAUUAUCAGGUACCUUAUAUUUGCUGAUGCUAUCUGGAACUAAAUUCCAAUCAGGCAUUGUCCAAUUACUAAUAGGACAGAUCAUAUCUCUCUGUUUCUAAACUAACAUGUAUCGUAAUGUGACCUCAUAAGGAAGGCUAGGAAGAUGGAGGAUUUUGUGGGAAGCGACCAGAAUCAGAUGGAAGAGAGAUAGCCCUGUUGACCUAAUGGCUGUAAUAGGAGAAGCGUGUGGUUUUAUGGGACUUAACUGAUACUAAACCUGUAUGAUGCUUGGAGUGGUGUUUCUUUCAUUUUGUUAAGAAAAUAUGGCAGCAUACAUGCUUUCAACUGAGUGCAUCAGAGCAUCCAUAACAGAUGGUCUGCAACCCUAGGUGCAUGCCACUUUCUGACUGAUAAUGAAAUUGUCAGGUACCUGGCCUUGACUAAGCUCAACAGCAUCACAUAAAGAGAAGCUUUCAUACUUAGAUUACUGUUUAAAGUUUUUGCUUAUUUGAUUUCUUAAUGCCAUUAUGACAUUAUUGAUUCAAUUCUGCUUCCGAUUUUCGAAGUUCUGGGCAUCUACUGAUUGCAUCAUUAUAUGAGAAGUUGCAUGAGUUUAUGUAUCCUGUUAUUGUUCCUUUGCGAUUUCACUGCUCACGGGACUAACCUCUCCAUUCAGUCGAAAUGAAUUGUAAUUUCUUUACUGGUAGCAGUAGUACUUUUCAUAGCAAAGAUAAUAGAAAAUAUGAAAUAUAAAUAGAAGGAAAUCUGGAUUGUAGAUAGCACCAUAAGUAACACUCAAUAUUCACUACAUAAUAAAUAGACAGUGUUACAUAGGUAGAGAAACCUACAAUGAGUACUCAUCACCAUUCUCAAACAGAAACAUAGCAGCGACUUAUACAUAGAACCUAUAGGCUCGCAGGGAAAGAGUAACAUGAUAAGUUCACAGCGGGUAGCAGCUCUUAUUUUACGUAUUACUCAAAAUCUCAAACUAACCAAAGUCACUCAGUUGGGAUGGGUAGGAGAUGGUGGUUUGUGGGGUGGCUUCUGGGUAGGAGCUGGUGGCUUCUUUGUUGGAGUUGAAGGAGGCAUAUUCUUCUGAGGUGGCUUGUAUGACUCUUCGGCACUCUCUGCAGGAGGGUGCCCAGGGUUGUGACCAGAAGGAGGUGGCUUCUGUCCCUUUGGUGGUUUGCCUAAUGGGCUUGGUGGCUUGUGCUCCGGGAGUUGUUUCUCUCCCUCGAGUAGGUUUCGAGUUUUGUCAGAUGGCUUGUGUUCUGGUGGUGGCUUCUCUCCCUGGGGUGGUUUGCCGAAUGGGCUUGGUGGCUUGUGUUCGGGGAGUGGCUUCUCUCCCUGGAGAAGGUUACGAGUUUUGUCAGAUGGCUUUUGUUCUGGUGGCGGCUUCUCUCCCUGGGGUGGUUUGCCAAAUGGGCUUGGUGGCUUGUGUUCGGGAACUGGCUUCUCUCCCUUGGGAGGUUCAUUUGGUGGCUGGUGUUCCGUAGGUGGUUCCUUCACCGGCGGCUUGUGCUCCGGAAGCGGCUUCUCUACCUGGAGAAGCUUACGAGUUUUGUCAGAUGGCUUGUGUUGUGGUGGUGGCUUCUCUCCCGGGGGUGGUUUGCCAAAUGGACUUGGUGGCUUGUGUUCGGGGAGUGGCUUCUCUCCAUGGGGAGGUUUAGUUGGUGGUUGGUGUUGCGUAGGUGGUUUCUGAAGUGGGGGAUGCUUGGGGUAGUCAGCAAUAGACGAGGUAGUGAGAACCACCAGUCCCAACAGCAACACUAGCAAGGAUGUUGAAGACAUCUUUGAGUUCAGGCUGAGAUCUGUGCAAGGAUAAAAGAUUUAGGUGGCCUUUUAUAGAGGGCUGGACCCAACACCCAUAUGACACGUGUCAUGCACUCAUGGUGACACAUAAUUCUAUGGGACCAUUUGGGUCCUACAGAAGUUGCAAAGUUGGACUAUUGAGGUGUGAUCACAACUUUUGUCCUACUUGCUUUCUCUGCGGCCAUUGCACGAUUUCCUUUAGCAUCAUUUUCUUGUCUAAAUAAGCGUAUUAUAUUUGUGGCAGACCGUCCACGUGUCAUAAACAGAUAUAUUAUAAUAAUGUAGUAUGCUUUUCUUCAACGGAACUUGACACUCUUCUAAGUCUUGUUUUAAAUACUGUGCAGGAUUACGUCAUAAGUUGCUUGUUCCAAGUCAAAAUUGGUGGGCAAACGUUGGCCUUUUUUCAUUUUCCCUAAUAUUAAUGCUCACCUGGGAUAGGCACUACAUGAUUUAUCUGCUCUUUUACUGUGAAGUUGCUUUGUGCAUGAGUUACACCUCCCCUGCACACCCUCAACAUUUGUUGCUCUGUUUUUCUUGUGUCCAGACGAGGAUAUUAAUUGGAGGCUGACAAAACGACUGCUAGCCAAGGAUUUACAAGGUCCUGGUUUGAGGCUUUCACGAAAGUAUUUUUGAAAAGAUACACAUAGAGAUUGCGCGUUCGGUGCAAUGCAACAAUGUGAGCCAUUCUGAAGUCUUAAAUUUCAGAUUAAUGAAUGCUACAAAAUUCUAAGAAGGGCCGUUUCCAAAUAUUUGAGUUCAUUCAUCCGAACAUCGGGUAUAUGCUUCUUUCUCUAGCCCCUCCUUGAAGGGAGGAGGGACAAUGUGAUCUGUAUCGUUAGAAGCUAUUCCAUGUCGUCAUCUUUGGGCUCAGUUCAAUACUAAAAGAUAUGGGCGGGGCCCUUAUCAUUUUAUAUUUCUUCUAGAAGGUUUAUUCUGGAAAUCUUUCACAGAAACAUAUCUUUUUCUUCUCUACGUGAUCCGUGGUUUGAAAGUUGGAAAAAUGGGUCCGUUAACAAGCCACCGAGUUGAAAAGUUGGAAAAAUGGCAACACCGCCAACCUCUUGUAUUCGAUAGUUAAAUAAAAGGUCACUGGAAGUGAGAUCCCUUUUGGCCUCUUGAUUUUCAUUCCAGCAUCUCUAUGGCCUGAUAAAUUAAAAAACUAAAAAAAAAGACAGUACGUGGGUUGGUGUUAAGCAUCAAGAGUCAAGACAUGAUAAUGGAGAGAAAGGAUAUUCAAAUUCCAGUUCUGACAACAUGAUUUUCUUUGCUGAACUACCAUAUUAUAUUUGAUCAAGAAAGAGUAGUGCAUGUGGCCAGGAUCAAGACAUACAUUAAUUUCCACAUGAUGAAGACAGUUUCUGAGAGUUUCUUCUAAAGCUCUUGCGCGAGUAGGCUUCAAGUCAAAAUCUCCCAUGUAAACACUGGUUUUUCUUUCAUUGCCACUAAGGAUGCAGUUAAUAUUGACUUAAGAUCCUACGUGAUAUAUUUUUUUAAAAGAGCUAUAUUGUAGAUAAUAUUUGAAAUAAUGUUGAUUCGUUGUGGAAAUAUAUUUGUAAGGAAAGUUGUUGACAAUUUAAUAUAGUAUAAGAAGAAAAAAGUUAUCAACUAGCUAGAGAUGAGUAUGUAAAGUGAGGCUCACGAUUCAACGCGUAAAUAUAAGAUAUUUUAAGGCUCAAUAGUUAUGAUAUCUAUUUUAUUUUUUGUAUCUCAUAUAUUCAAAGAUAUAGUAAAAUGAUUUUACAUAUAUAUAUAUAUAUAUAUAUGAACAUAACUAUUUGUGCCAAUUGAUUUUUAUCUUUAUUUUGUAUAUUAGUAAUUAUAUUAAAGUUUUUACUAAUAUAAUAACUAAUAUAAAAGCUUUUUCUAAAAGAGUCAACAGAGCAAAACACUUAUUAUAAAAAAUAAUUUUGAUUGAAGGUGGAGUCAAUUAUUCUUUAUUUAACAUGUAAUGCAUACGGCGUGUACUUCAUAACUAAAGUAUAUAAGUGUAACAUCUCUUAUAUAUUCUCAUUCAAUCUCGAAAGUGGAAAUUUUAAAAAGAUUAAACGGUUCAAAUUUGUCGUGCAUAAAGGGGAUCAUGUCACAUAAGCAAACCAUGGCAUACCAAAGACAUAGGUAUGGACUAAGAAUUUUUUUCAAAUAAGUUUCUUAUUAGGGUACAUUAAUAGGUGACUUUUUAUGACAUAUCAAAGGAGUCAAGUGCACCAAUAAAAACAUAUAUAGAAAAUUCAUGCAUGACAUGUAUCACUAAGAGAAGAUUGACUUGAUAGAGUUUAAUCCAAAUAGGAGAUUGUUAAAAGGUGUCUCAAAUUCUUGAUUGAUAUAUAUUUUUUUUAUUAAAAAGGUUAUUAUAUAGAUAUUUCAAUAGACUAUUAAUUCUUUGUAAAAAUAGUUAUAUAAUGAGGAUGGUGAUUAAAAAUAUCUCUAUCAAUAUUUUGGAUUAUAAAAAGAAAAAAAAUGAGAUAAUGAUAAACAUAUAAAACUUGUACAAGUAGAUAAAGAUGUGAUGAAAGACACUUGAUGAAUGAAGGCUUUGUAUUUCAAGAUAUAAAUAUAUGGAGCAAAACUCUUAAUUAUAUGAUCAAAUGAUUCUCUCAUAUUCAUGAAUAUAAGCAGGAUUGGGGAACCAUGAUAGAAUCUUAUAUGCCUCUCCAUGUAGAGUGAUCGAUGUUUAUCUUCAUAUUUUACACCAGUGAAUGACAUUGAAACUCUUAUUGAUAAAAGGGAAAAGGCAUGGCCUCCACCCCAAGAAAAACAAGUAACCUCGGUUUAAAUCACUAGUCUACACCCCGAAGAGAGAACUAGCCAAACCUACUAAAAGAGAAACUUAACAAUUUAGAAAGAAACCGUCCAUGAUAAAGGGCCCCUAAAGGUCCAAUUCAGUGAGGUCGUGAACAAAAACACUUUCAUGUCAAAACAGAGAUAGGUACCACCAAAAUGUAAAGGGAAAGAUGUAAACCACGUCGAACUUUGGUAAUCAAUGGUAAAGAUAGCAUGAUAGCUAAAAGCACUAAAGCUGUGCUUGGUAUGCAAAAAUGAAAAGUGGAAAUCAGCGUCUUAUUCUUUUUCACCUUUAUUCACAUAUUAGGAUAACUAAUAUCUAAUGUUUUUUAUGUCUCAAAUUCUAUUCCAUGUUAUGGUAAACUUUCAUCUUGUUUAGAUCACUUUUGUCUGGUUUGGGCUCAAGACGAUAAGCCUAUAGAGACUUCAUAUUGGGUUGAAUCGAUGCCCUUGAUCUGAUCUGUUCGUUAGAAAAAUCUGAAUUAUUAUAAGCAUUUAGAUAAAAAAUAAAUAAAUGUGAAACACAAACUACUCCCUGCACAACCUUGACCCUAGUUACUCAGUUUCACUGCUCACAGGACUAACCUCUCCAUUCAGUCGAAAUGAAUUGUAACAAGAAGAUUUUUGACAGGAGGACGGUAGUUUAAAAUAAUAAUUUCUAAAGUACUUUUGUGAAAAAAAAUAAUUCCAAACGUGGAUUUUAUCAAGUAAAAAGAAAAAAAAAAGUUAUUUUCUUUUAAAAUCUGUUCUUCUAAAGAUGAUAUAUAUACCAAAAAAAAAAAUUGUUUUCUGAAGGUAAAAUUUUUAAAAUUCAUUUUUAAAAAAAUUUACACACUAAAAUUAUCUUUUCAAGAGAAGAUUUUUUUAAUUUUAAAUAAUUAUUAAUUUAUAAUUAAUUUGUUAUUAAUUAUUUAUUAAUUUUUUUAUUUGAAAAAUGCAUUUAUAAAAAACAAAUUUGUUAUUAAUUUAUUAAAUAAUUUUUACAAAAUAAAUAAUUUUUUUUUAUUUUAAUUUUAAAAUUAAUUUUAUUAUAUAAAUUUUAAAAUUAAAAAUAUUAAUAUUUAAUUUAAAAUUUAACUAUAAAAGGAAUAAAAUAUAGAAAAAUAAAUUAAUUUAUUAUUCAAUAAAUUAAUUUUCAAUAAAAUUUUCAGCAUUAAGAGAUAAAUUUUUAAGUAUUAAUCAAUUUAAAAAGAAAUAAUGAUCAUUUGUAUAUUAAGAUAUUUUAUUUAGUAAUUAUGAAUGAUAAACAACUAAAGUAAUUUGAAAAAAUAAUAAAAUAUUUAAAAAAUAAUAAUUUAAUACACGUAAAAUUAGAAAUGAUUAACUAUUUUUUAUUAAGAAAAAAUUGAGGAAAUAUUUUGUUAUUUAAAAUUUUUUAUUUGUUUUCAAUUUUUAAUGUUAUAGGUUUCAAGAAAAUUGAUCAAAUAAAAAUUAAGAAGUCAUUUUUUCAAAAACUAUAUAUCUAAAUAAAAGCCUUGAAAUUCAAAUACACAAUAUCAUAAAUAUAAACACCAAGUCAAUCCUUAAUUAUCAAAUGUUUUUAAUAUUAAAGAAUCAAAAUCACCUACUAUCAUGAUAAUAAGAAAACCAAUAAUAUUGUUCAUAUAAAUACUAAAAAGCUAACAAAUAUCCCAAACAAUUAAUAAAGUAUCAAACAUGAUAAAAAGUCAAUUAUUAUCAUGAAUGCAAAAAAUCAAUAAUUUUGUUUAUAUGAACCAUCAACAAAGAAAAAAAAAAUCAAUAUCUAAAUAUUAAACAUAAUUUAUAUUUUUAUAAAUAUUAUUGUUGAUAAAUAUCUUAACAAUUAUAAUUUUAGUAAAUAAAAUUAAUUAAUUUUAGUUUAAGAAUUAUUUUUUUAUACUUUCGUAUUCUUAUCAAAAAUCCCCAUUUUGCAUGUCUCCUUUGGCAUGACUUUCUUACCUAAACAAGCAUAUAUAUAUAUAUAUAUAUAUAAAAUAUUUGGUUAAGAAAGAGUACUAAAGUUUAUAUGGCACACAUCAAGAUAGAAACAGAAGUGGAAGAUAAUCCAAAUGUAUGAACAGAUAUAUUAUAUCCAUGUAGUGGUAGUGACUUCAUUAUUUACUUUUAUCUAAUGGAGCAUGACACACUUCUUCUGAAUAUUUUGCACGAUUAUGUUAUGUGUCAGCUUGUUCUAAGUCAAAACUAGUGAUAAAAAUCGGUUUUUUUUGCAUUUCCUUCAUGAAGAUGGCACCUGGAUGGGGCACUACAUGAGUGGCAUAGCACGAAGUGAUUUAUCUGCUCCCUUUACUAUAAAGUGCUUUGUGUAUAAGUUACACCUCCCCUGCACUGCCUCAACAUUUGUUGUUCUGUCUUCCGUCUGUCCAAACGAGGACAAACGUAUGUUGUAGGUUGACAAAACCACAGCUAGCCUAGGAUUUGCAAGGAUCUAGUUUGAUUCGUAUGCAAAAGGAUUGGUGAAAAGAUUCACAAAGAUAAUGCUUUUUGCAAUGCAAUCUUGUUCUAAUUCAACAGUGUGGACCAUUUUCAUGUAAUGCUUCAACUAGAUGUCAGUUUCAUGAAUUUUUGUUCAUCUAAUUGAUCACUGGAUAGGCCAUAACCCGAAGAAAUUCAAAAUUCCCUUCAGUACUGUAGCUAAGGAAAGAUCCCUAUCUACCACUGGGAUUUUAAGAGGGUAAAAAUGUAGGUGGGUGCCUAUAUCAUUUGCACUUCACUAUAGGCCUCUUUGGGAAGAUUUCUUCUGAAGACAUUUCAAAGAAACAUAUUUUUCUCUUCUCUCCGUAAACGGCAGCUGCAAGUCAGUCCAUUCACAGGCCACCGAGUUGAAAAGGCUGGAAAAUUGGCCAAAGCACCCGCCUCCUGGAUUCCAUGGGUAAGGAAAAGGUCACUGGAGGUGUGAUCCCUGUUGGCCUCUUGAUUUCCAUUCCGCCAUCUAUAUGACCUGAUAACCCAAAAACACAGAAGGAAAACGUCACCUGGGUUCAUAGUAAGCAUCAAGUCAUGAUAGAGACCAGACAACAUGACCAACAAAGAGUAGCGAAUGGGGCCAACAUCAAGCCCCAUUACGGUUAGAAGAUGGAAGAAGUAGAAGACAAUCCAAUUCUGAUAGAUUCGGGCAAAUGUAGUGCUGUUCAAACUUAAUCAUUUACUAUUUCUUCAUGAAUCACGGCAUUUUUCUUCUGAAAAUUUUCCAAGAUUAGGCCUCUGAAGAAAAAUUUCAUAUGUAAAUUGGUAUAUUAAGGAAAAGGCGUUACAAAGGUGAAAAAAAACCAAUCAAAUCUUAUAUAUGACAUCUCAAAAAUAUGAACUUGCUAUAAAUAUUUAAAAUCAAAAUCUUGCACAUCACCUCGUAGUACGAACUUGCUAUAAAACUUGAAAAUCAAGAAGAAAGGGGCAGUAUUGGACGAGACUACUUAGCACAUAUUAUUAUGAUGUUUUUUCAUUUUCUUAAUGUUGUUUUUAUGUCUUAAAUUCUAUUAUUCUAUGUUACGGUAAACAUUCAUCUUGUUUGUGUGGAAUAGGAUCACUUUUCUCUGGGUUGAGUCGAUGCCCUUAGUUAAUUUGUUCAUUUGAAUAAACUAAAUUAUUAUAAGUAUUUAGAUAAGAAAAACGUGAUACAUAAAUUACGCCUCUCGGCACAACUUCAACACUGGUUACUCUGUUUCAGUUUCCUCACACAAGAUUAUUGGUUCUAGGGUUUAUUUGGUUUUGGUUUGAUUCUAAUUGCUAAACUUUCUCAAGGAAGAUGUUAUAUAGGGAGUGAGAAACCUUCACUCUUGGCUACCUCCAAGAGAAGAGCAAGUGGUCUGAAUCAAAGAUAUACUGCUCACUUUUUCUUCUUCUAAGGACAGCUAUGACCUUGCUUUAAGGUUCGAAUAGCCUAAUGCAACCUCCCAUUUCUCAAGUCAGCUGAUGAUGUAAGUCACCUUGGCUUUCCACAUUCAUACGGUGAGGACGUUUGUGGGUGUAAUUCUCUUAACAGUUUUCAUUUUAUAUGGAAAAAUUCAUAAUUAAGGGUAAUUACUGAUUCCAUUUGACAGUGACCAAGUUUAAAAUAUUAAUUCAUAUAUUAAAUGCACAUUAAAAAAUCAUGGAAUAAAUAUAUUUACUAAUAUAUAGUUCUUUUGCCAUGUUCUGUCACAGAAGCAUCGAACUUUCCCUAGAAAUUUUUGCAUGGUAUUCUACUUAUGAUUUUGAAAACUCUAGGCACCUGAGGCCACUAAUUGCAUGGUUGGAUGAGGAGCUGCAUGAGAUUAUGUAUCGUGUUGUUCCUUAACUACAAAUAUCAGUUUUAAGUAGCAUCUCCAUGUGACAUUUUCCUGAUGCAAUUUCGCUGUCCACCAACAAAUUUCACCAUGCAGCAAGAUGAAUUGUAAUUUCUUUAUUGUUAUCAACAGCUUUAAUUAAUCUUGAUAUAUAUAUAUAACUUAGUAGAAGUAUAUUAAUCUAGAUUGUAGUUGCACUAAGAUAAUAGGCAAUAUUAUAACAGUGCCACAAUGCUCAUCGCCAAAUAGAAAGGUAGAAAAACUACAAUGAGUAACUCACAACAUUCUCAAACAGGACAUAGCGGCGACUGAUACAUAGAACACUAUUGGCACUCAGGAAAUGAUAAGAUCAGUGCCCAGCAGGCAGCACGUCUUAUUUUACAUACUACUUAAAACUAACCAAAGUCAUUCAGUUGGGAUGGGUGGGAGAUGGUGGUUUGUGCGGUGGCUUUUGGGUAGUUGGUGGCUUCUUUCCUGGAACUGAUGGUUUUUUUGUUGGAGUUGAAGGAGGCUUAAUCGUCUGAGGUGGCUUGUAUGAGUCUUCAGCACUCUCUGCGGGAGGGUGCCCAGGGUUGUGACCAUAAUGGGGUGGCUUCUCUCCCUUAGUUGGUUUGCCAAGUGGGCUGGCUGGCUUGUGCUCCGGGAGCGGCUUCUCUCCCUUAGGUGGUUUGCCAAAUGGGCUUGCUGGCUUGUGCUCUGGGAGCGGCUUCUCUCCCUCAAGAAGUUUACGGGUUUUGUCAGAUGGCUUGUGUUCUGGUGGUGGCUUCUCUCCUUGGGGUGGUUUGCCAAAUGGACUUGGUGGCUUGUGUUCGGGGAGUGGCUCCUCUCCCUUGGGAGGUUUAGUUGGUGGCUGGUGUUCCAUAG
Molecule: long non-coding RNA, 43139 nt
Filed under: Vitis vinifera (wine grape)
Lineage: Eukaryota; Viridiplantae; Streptophyta; Magnoliopsida; Vitales; Vitaceae
Description: long non-coding RNA (VVIN_LNC001392)
Source: RNAcentral